CUGUUCAUCUUUAGUUACAAUGAAAAGUUUAAGCAGUACCGUCAACUGUGAUAAUCGAUGUGAGAAAAAAGAACACAUUGGAAUAAGUUGUAUUUUCUCGAUUGGACUGCGAAACUUAAUUAUACAGUUCACUGUAGGGGUCGUAGGGUUCUCUAUACAAGCAUUGCAUGAAAUAAAAAGUUAAAUUGACAAUAAUGGGACCUAAGUCACAAGACAAAGGUAUAAAAUAUGAAUCAUUUAUUUCACCAAUGAUGCAACUCUUUAUAACAACAUCAAGUUCAUAUCAAAAUUUAAGAAAAAACGUAUGAGUCAUAAAUUCAACCAAUGAUACAACUCUUGAUAACAUCAAGUUCAUGUCACAAUUCAAUCCCUUUGGCCAAAUUCUUCAAUUGUCUUCGUCGCAAGUGUAAGAACAUCAACAAAAGCACUAUAUGAUGCACGAAGAAACCUUGCUUCGACAGCCUCAAAAUGCCUGUACAUGCGAGUAUACAUUUGUCAAAAGGGCGAAAACAAUUCCAAAAUACAAAAACACUAGAUGUAUAAAGAAUGGUGAAAGGUCGAAUAAUUUGGUCUGCCUAUAUUGGAGUAUUCCGUCUUUAAGUAUAAUUGGUUUUCUUAAUGUAUUUGCCUCGUAUUUUAACUUGAACUUGUAAAUAAAUCCAAGGUAAAUCGUAUACUGACACUGAAAGCUUCCCAUUGGAGAUUGACAUCUCCCUUUUCACCUUGUCCGGCUGCAACUGUUGUGCAUGGCACAAUUCAAGUAUUAUUUCAGUCAGAAUUUAACUGAACACAAGCUUUGAAUCAGAAUAGCACAUGAUGGUUACCUCUUUAUCGACAACCAAUGCUGAAUAAACCAUGCUAGCUUUUUCAUUGGACUCGUAAUCUACUUCCAAGUCGC
Molecule: long non-coding RNA, 898 nt
Filed under: Olea europaea subsp. europaea
Lineage: Eukaryota; Viridiplantae; Streptophyta; Magnoliopsida; Lamiales; Oleaceae
Source: RNAcentral